Molecule: long non-coding RNA, 20451 nt
Organism: Pan troglodytes (chimpanzee)
Lineage: Eukaryota; Metazoa; Chordata; Mammalia; Primates; Hominidae
Exons: 4
Source: RefSeq, a predicted model, not a curated record
AAAAAAGACAGCUACAGAGUGACUAGCAGGCAGGUCAAAUAGACACUGUGGAGAUGCUGGAUAAAGGAUGCUACACGUCCCGGCUGGGACAGAGCAGGACGGCAGGGGAUUUCAUUACGCCACUCAGAAUGGCGGGCAACUGAAAAAACUUAUAAAUUGUUUAUUUCCAGAAUUUUUUACUUAAUAUUUUCAGACUGCAGUUGACCUCAGGACACUAACCAUGGAAAGCGAAACCGCGGAUAAGGGGGAACAACUGUGUUUCCCAAAGUCACAGUGCACUUAGAGGGGGUCCUCCCACCCCAUCCUCCCCUCAGACAGAGACUGGGUGUCGUGUGGGUUUCUACUGGGUCCUCUGAGAGGGCAGCGCCUGGGGUGAAGAAGUAGCCCCCAGACUCUGUCCACCCCCUUCUGCCUCUGGAAUGUAUCAGGGGGAAGACAGGCCUCCAGUUCCAUGAGUUCCUGCCCUGGCCCCGCCCAGCACCCUCAUGCCCACCCCCAUUCUCACUUGGCCAGCACCACUGACCCCAGCGCACUCAGGCACAAGCGUGUUCCCUGUGCAUAUGCUGUCCGUGCACAUACAUCCUGAACCAGGCACACAGAUGCACACACAUACACGUGUGUGUGUACACAUGCACUGUGUUCACACCCCAGAAACACACCUGUGUAGACACAUGCAUGCACAGACACGUUUCUGUACUCGAAGUGGGUUCUGAGACAGUGAGCAGCAGGCACUUGGGUUUUUGGCCAGGAGCGCUGCUGUGCUAAGGCUGGGAGGGCCUGGGUCCCUGCAGGCGUCACGGCCUUCCUUCUUACAGACUCGCUCUAGGUCGCCCCUGCUGUUGACACCCGUGUCAGUGCAGACACAGCCCUCCCAGCUGGGCAGCCGAGUCCGAAGGCUGCCUGCGCGCUGGCCCUUCCAUCUCUGCUCCUGCACACGGCUCCUCUGCAGACCCACUUCAUCGCUGUCACGUGCUCUCUCCCGUUCCAGAAGCCACCCCUGAGCCACGGGAAGCUCCCAGCACCUGCUCUUUUACUCCCAAUUUGCUCCUCCUCUUCCGCCCUCCUCUUUUAUUUCUAUUUGUAGAAGUAUGGAAAGUCAAAAAGUACAGUGAAUAAGAGCAACCCCCAUAUUCCCGUCACCCAGAAUGAAUAACCUGUUAUGUGUGUAGGGUGGUGGGAGGUGGUAUGCAUGUGUGUGUGAGGGGUGGGGGGUGCAUGUGUGGUAUGUAGAGUGUGUGUGCGUGUGUGUGGUGUGAGGGUAUGUGUGUGGUGUAUGUGUGUAGUGUGAAUGCAGUGUGUGGUAUGUGUGGUGUGUGCAUGUAUGUUGUGUGGUGUCUGCGCAUGUAUGGUGUGUUUGGGGUGUGUGUGGUGUCAGCGUGUGUGUGGGCUGUGUAGGGUGUGAAUGUGGUGUGUGGGUGUGUGUGUGGUAUAUGUGUGAUGUGUGUGCAUGUAUGGUGCAUGGAGUGUGUGGGGUGAGCAUGGUAUAAGUGUGUGAUCACGUGUGGUAUACAUGUGUGCUGUGUGUGAUAUGUGUGCAUGUAGUGUGGCGUGUAUGCAUGUAUGGUGUGUGAUGUGGCUGUGAUGAGUUUGGUGUGAGUGUGCAUGUGUGGUGUGAGCGUGUGUGGUAUAAGUGUGGUGUGUGCUGUGAGUGUGGUAUAAGUGUGUGGUAUGAGUGUGUGGUGUGUGAGCAGGUGGGGGGCAGGAAGGGAUCAAGCCAGCGCUGUUGUUACAGCACUGACUUCCCCAUAGGUGAUUUCCGCUGCAUCCCAGACACCCCCUAGCUGGCCCCAAUUUUUGGAAAAGUAAGUGAUUUGGGGGUGAAUUGCACUACCUUUAAGUGAUUCUGAAGUCCUCGGUGGCUCAGAAAUGCAGGGAGAUGACAUUGGAAGCUUCCCUCCCUCUUGUUAGGACAAAUCCUGUGAUUUGCACACCUUGAAAGUCUGGAUCUGGGACCUGGGCAGGCCCUGGCACCCCUGGGGCCCCUGCAGCAGGUGCGGGGAGGGGGCUGGUGGGGCAGUGCACAGGGAUGGAAGGUUGCAGAGUGGGCACAACAUCCCCUGCAAUCCCUAGCACAUUCCUGUGGUUCCGUGGGUGGGUGGGCAGGACAGGGAGAGUCACAGGUGGGAGGAGGCCUGGUCCCCUGUCCGCACCCUGCAUCUGUCCUGGCUGGUGGCAUUCUGACCACCCUCUCCCAUAAUACCAGACUCGCCCCUCCCCCAGGCCUGGCUGUGUCCGGAGCUGCCCUCUGGGCUCUGUGGGCAAUGUGAACAUGUGGCCGCCAGGAAUAGCGCCUCAUAUUUAGACAGCAGCCUCCUCUGCUCCCGGCCUGCCCUUCCAGGCCCUCUGCGGGCAGGCUGGCCAUUUGUCCCAAGUCCCUUUCAGGGUUCUGUUGGUGGAAGGGCCUCCAUCCUGCCCACCCCUUCAGCUGAAGGCUUCUGUCCCAGGAUCACACCCCACGCUCCCAACAGGACUCAGAGGGCGUCGUCUUGCAGCCCAGAAGCCACCGAGUUCUUUUGUGUAAAGUGUAAAAAAUGUUUGCACACCCAGCUAUUUGUGUGUGUGUGUGUACAUUUAAAAUUAUGUAUUUGUUGUAUUCUCAAUAGCUAACGUCUUAAGGCACAGUGUGUGUUUACGGUGAAGUUUAUAACAGCAGAUGUUAACCCACCACGUGAAAGUGUUAACCUGAUCAUGUCAGAGAUGACUUCCUAAUCCUGGGUUCUCAGACUGGCCUGAGUCUGGGUGGCGAUGGAGACAGCACUGGCUUCUGGGAGGUCCCUGCACUGGCCCCACCCAGGGGACCACGGAAGGAUUGGAUCUGGGCCAUCUGGGUCUCCUCUGGCCCCUUGUCCUGGCGCCUGGGAGCAGGGGUGUUGGGAGGAGGAGGCUAGGCUGCUCCCGUGCGCUGGGCCAGGGCCAGGGCCAGGGCCAGUGGCUGUGUCUCAGAAGUCCAGGCUACCUUCCUGCCCCAUGUUCCAGAAAGCUCUCCUGUCCCCAGGCUGCCCUCAUUCAGGUACCUUUUCACACUUGGAUGACUCCAGUGGGCUGAUUCAGUACCGCAGAGUGUCCCAGCAGCUGACAAUGACUGGAACUUGGGGAACGUCUCCAUGGCCAGACAGGGCCCUGUUGAGGUGGCUGAGGCCACAGCUUAACACCAACAAACCAUUUGCUGGUGGUCACAAGACGGGGUGAGUAGCAGCUGCACAUUCUUGCAGAGUGAGCAGGCAUUCCCAGCUGGGUGGAUGAAGGCCCUGCAGCCUGGAUGUGGGAGCUGGAACUGUCCGCUUUGCCCGGCACACACUACUGCACCCCAUCGGCUAAAAUGCAUUGCCUACCACGGGGUCUUCACCCACCCACAGCUCUGCUCCGAUUCCAGGUUGGGCCCUUCUUCCUCUGGCCACUGUACCUUUAUUUUUUUUAGCCUUUGGCAUAUUUAUUACUGUAAAAUACACAAUACAAAUUUUACCAUUGUGGCUGGGUGCGGUGGCUCAUGCCUGUAUUCCCAGCACUUUGGGAGGCCAAGGCGGGCGGAUGACUUGAGGUCAAGAGUUUGACACCAGACUGGGCAAGAUGAUGAAACCCCAUCUCUACUAAAUAUACAAAAAAUUAAUUGGGCGUGUUGAUGGCUACAUGUAGUGCCGGCUACUUAGGGGGCUGAGGCAGGAGAAUCGCUUGAACCUAGGAGGUGGAGGUUGCAGUGAACUGAGAUUGUGCCACUGCACUCAAGCCUGGGCGGCAGAACAAGACUCCAUCUCAAAAAAAAAAAAAAAAGUUACCAUCUUAAACCUUAAGGCUCAUCCAUGUUGUAGCAUGUGUCAGAAUUUCCCUACUUUUAAAAACGGAGUAAUAUCCCAUUUUGUGGAUGGACCACAUGUGUUCAGGUGAGUACCUAGGACUACAGACAGAGAUGGGGUCUUACUAUGUUGCCCAAGCUGGUCUCAAAUUCCUGGCCUCAAGUGAUCCUCCCACCUCAGCCUCCCAAAGUGUUAGGAUUACAAGUGUGAGCCACCAUGCCUGGCUGAGUUAAUUUUUGUAUACGGUGUAAGGUAAAGAUCCAACUUCACUUUUUAAAAAAAUUUAACUGGAUUUCCAAUUUUCCCAGCACUAUUUGAUGGAAAGACUGUCCUUUCCCCAUUAAAUGGUGUUCGUACUCUCAUCAAAAAUCAUCUGGCCAUACAUGCCAGGGUUUAUUUCUGGACUGUUGUAUUCCACUGGUUCAUAUGUCUGUCUUCAUGCCUGUAUCACACUCCAUUGAUUACUGUAGCUUUGUAGUAAGUUUUAAAAUAUGAAAGUGUGAGUCUUCCAACUUUAUUCUUCUUUCCAGAUUGCCUUGAUUGCCGGGCGUGGUGGCUCACUCCUGUCAUCCCAGGACUUUGGGAGGCUGAGGUGGGAACAUUGCUUGAGGCCAGGAGUUUGAGAGCAGCUUGGGCAACAUAGAGACCUUGUUUCUACAAUAAACAAUUAAAAAAAAAUUGGCCAGUCACAGUGGCUCACACCUGUAAUCCCAGCACUUUGGGAGGCAGAGGUGGGCAGAUCACGAGGUCAAAAGAUCAAGACCAUCCUGACCAACAUGGUGAAACCCCGUCUAGCUGGAUGUGGUGGUGUGCACCUGUAGUCCCAGCUACUUGGGAGGCUCAGGUAGGAGAAUUGCUUGAGCCUGGGAGGCGGAGGUUGCAGUGAGCUGAGAUCGCACCACUGCACUCCAGCCUGGGCGACAGAGCGAGACUCCAUCUCAAAAAAAAAAAAAAUUAACUGGGCAUGGUGGCAUAUGCCUAUAGUCCCAGCUACUCAGGAAGCUGAGGCAGGAGGAUCAAUUGAGCCCAGAAGAUCGAGGCUACAGCGAGCUAUGAUAAUGCCAUUACACUUCAGACUGGGUGACAGAGCAAGGCCCUGUCUCUAAAAAAAGAUGGAAAAAAGUUUUUUAAAUAAAAAAAAGAUUGUCUUGACUAUUCAGAGUCCCUUGCAAUUCCAUAUGAAUUGUAGAAUGGAUUUUAAAAUUUCUUUAAAAAGUGCUGUUGGAUUUAGGUAGGUAGUUAUUGCGUUGAAUCUAUAGAUUGCUUUGAGUAGUAUUAACAUCUCAAUAUUAGGUUUUCCAAUUCAUGAACAUGGGAUGUCUUUUAAUGUCUUUUUUAAUGCCUUUCAGCAACAUUUUGUAGUUUUUAUUGUAGAAAUCGUUCACCUCCUUGUUUAAUUUCUAAGUGUGUCAUUCACUUUGAUGCUACAAAUGGACUUGCUUUCUUCAUUUGUUCUUGGGUUGCCAUUUGUUAGUGUAUAGAAAUGAGCUUGAUUUUUGCAGGUUGAGUUUGUAUGCUGCAACUUUGCUGAAUUCAUUUAUUAGUUUUAGCAGAUGUGUGUGUGUGUGUAAUCUUUAGUUUUCGGUGUACAAACAGGAUUUUACUUCUUUUCCAAUUUGGAUGCCUUUGUGUGUCAGCAUGUGUGAGUGAUAGUGUGUGGCAGGGGAGUGCUGUGUGCGUGUGUGUGUGUGUGUGCACGUGUGUUUGAGAGAGAGAUGGGUGAAAUCAGCUGGCUGGCCUGGGUGCUCUCUGGGGCUAUAGAGUACCACUCCUGGGAGUCCGUGCUCCACAGGACAAGGGAGUGAGCUGGAGUUCGGGCAGCAGGUUCACAUUAGGGGCGUUUUCAUAGAUGUCUCUGGAUUUCAGUAGCUGGAUCCCAGCCAAAGCAAGUGGUAGCAGCUUUGAAUUGUUGUAAAAUUUCACUGCUUCGGAAAGACCUCUCUUUCUGUGUGUCUUCUCCACAUCCUAGUCGAAAAAUCAUUUCUGAGAGAGUCUCAGGAAGGGCUGCUGCCCUGCCACUGAAAUGUGGGCCAGUCUGCCUGGGACAGAUCCCUCUUUCAAGCAAGCAUCUGCUCUUCUCCUAGUUCAGUUGGAAACUUGAGUUUGUCCAAGCAAGGUGGCCUCCGGGAGAGGCCAGGUGGAAGUCCUGAUGUGAGCCGAUGACUUUGGUCUCCUUCUCACAAGCAGUUGCCAGCCACGGGCACAUGCACAUUCUUGCCUUCUCUAUCAUUCUUCCCCUUUGGAGGGAGAACCCAGGAGUGCUGUGGCGCCCCGCGGAGGGGGAGAACCCAGGAGUGCUGCGGCGGCCCGCAAAGGGAAGCUGGGGCGGGAGAUGUCCACGGGCGGGGGGUUCUGCCCUGCCCUGCCCCGCCAUGGGUCUCUGCGCCUGCCUGGUCAGAUGGUGGAACUUUCUGGGCACGGAGUGGGGGCUGUAACCACACUUACUGCACAGUUGUUGCGAGAAUCAAAUGUCAGCUGCUUGGGGCCCAGGAGCUCGGUCCAGGUGAAGUCCUUUGUCGGGGGCAGAUCCUGCCGUGAAUCUGUGUGGAUAGAGGCUCGUGCAAGAGGCCAGGCCUCCAGCAGCCCAGGGUACGCAGGUGGUCUGACACCUGCCCUAACACACUUCUGCUUUGUUCCCCAAACCCAGUGGGUUGAUGGAAGCAUUUCCGUCCUCUCCCGAUGGGUACCCCUGUGCUCUUCACUGCAAACCUCCUUUUUAAGAAGGUUGAGUCCUGAGAAACUCUGCGUACACACACAUCCCCCUGUGGCCACCUGUCAGGGUAGCCUGGGUGUCAGUGUCGACAGCUGGGUGGCACUGCCCACGCCGGACAUUCUGCUAAUAGCCAGGCAGUCAUGCCUUCCUCUUCCGAAUCAACCUCACUCGGAAGCUCAACGCAAACCCUGCCAGUCACCCAGCAGCCACAGAUGGGUGAGUCACUGUGAUAAAUGCACGAUGAGGAAAUACAGAGUCAUCUCCCCACAAUUCUGUACUCUGUGUGUGAGGGAGACAGAGAGCGGGGUGGGCAGAGAGACAGAGAACACUGGGGAGGGGGAGGAGGAGUCCAGAAGGAGCUGGAACGGCCUUUCUGGGUGAGAACACAGCAUGUGCCAGCCUGGCCCUGUGGACCACAAGGCUCACGGUGGCCACCUUCAUGGGCCUUCCCUGGACUCGCCUGGUGGGUCCUGAGGGCUUGUGUGCCCCCCCUCACUCUGACCCAGGACGGCCCUAGGGAUCCUUCGGCCUCAGACCUGUUCAGGCAGGACCCAGCAGAAACCCCUCCCCCGUCUCCGCCCACAGGCCUCUUUGCCCUUUACAAAGUUUAAGGGUCACUCUGGAGUUUUUCCUUAGGGGCUCAGAAAGUCAGCCACACUCGGCGAUCAGGGUCAGGCUUCAUGGGGUCAGACAGGCACGGGGCAUGCUAGGGAGUGUCUAGCAGCCACUCUUGGGGUGUGAGGAGUCCUGGUCUGCUCCCCCAACAGCAGGCUUCCAGCUUCUAACGCAAACUUGCUGGCUGCAGAGUUGGUGUGAGAUGUUCGCCUUGGAAGGCAGACGCACCCUCAGGACGUCAGGAAGUCUUGGUCAGGGGGAUUGUGUUGGGGGAGAGACCACCUUAGCUGAAGGGGGUUUCCAGUGUGUGGUUCUGAUCUGGGCUGCUGCACAGGCUCAAGGCUCACAGGACGUCCUUCCUCCAGGGUCAUAUGGGCCCCUGCACUGCAAAUUGAUGGCACCCAUGGGCAGCAGGGCCUCCCUAGACAGCCCAUCACACAAAAGACCACCUGUGGCUGGCCCCUCACCUGGAGGUGGUAGCACAGCCGCAGCCACACUUUACCACCGGCUGGGGCAGAGACCGAGGACCCUGUGCACGGCCGGUCCUUCCCAGGCUCCCACUCGGGGGAGCCCCAGAAACAAGCACACGUAUACUGUUAGAAACAUCCAAGGGGAGGCUGCGUAACUGGAGGACCAGGAGGAGCAUUGUGGCAUCUUGGGGCAUUCCAUCCUGUGCCCUGUGGCAGAGCUGAGCCACGUAGCAGAGCUGAGUCACAUGGCAGAGCUGAGCCACGUGGCAGAGCUGAGCCGCAUGGCAGAGCUGAGUCGGCUUCUGAGAGGGAGCAUCCUGUUCCCUGCAGCCCUGGCCAGAGCCACUAGGCCAGCUGGUCCCAUCCGGAGGAGCCUCCCUCAGGCGAUGGCUGAGGGGUCCCAGGGUCUCUGCUGAUGGUCGGUUUAUCCAGCUAUGCUGCUGACCCUGCCUUCUCUUGCCACCCAAGGGCUAGGCUGCAGUGGGUAGGGGUAGUGGCAGGGAUUGGUGAGGUCCCCCAGGGUGUGGCAGCCACUGGAGGAGGGUGGCUGGGCUCCGGCUGCCCUCGCGUGGAAUCUUGGGCAUGCUGCUCAACCUUCAGCCUCGGUUUCCUCUUCCACGAAAGGGGAAAACAGUGGCUCAGGGGCUGGCAGUUGGACUAAGGAGGUGACGCCUACAUGGUGGCUACUGAUAACACCACAGUCGCUCUUUUGCUUUAGGAAAUUGUCUCAAGGACGUUCCUGUUAAAAUGCAAAUGUUGGUUGUAAAUUAUCCCCCCUCCUACCUGGCACCAGCUGACUCAUCAGAAGGGCUAGGGGCACAGAAGGGGCAACAGUGGGGGGCACAGGGAAGCCCUGGCUCGCAGCCUUGGGGAGAUGGCACUGCCCCUCAGGGACCACAAAGCUGCCACCACGCAUCGCCCCUGCCUCAGAGCUGCCCAUGAGGCCCUCCCGAACUGUCCAGCCAGCCUGGCUGCCUUGGCUGGGCCCCUCAGUGGCCCCUUCACGGUGUUUGUUCUCCCCAGCUCAGCCACAACGCCUGCUGGUUUCCCAUGGCCCUGGGGUGCUGUUGUCCUGGCCCUCCCUUCCCUCUUCUCUGUUCAGGUUGCAUGGCUGUCAUGUUAAUCACCAUUCAAGGGACCCUUAACUUCUGUGUCUCUCACUCCCCUGGACUUGCCUGGAAAGCCUCUCCCUCGAAUUCUCCGUGCCCCGGGCAGCAGCUGCAGCUCCAGCGCAGGCAGAGUGGGAGCCAAGACGAGAGCCCCGAGUGUCUUCUCUGCCCGUGUGGCCGUCCCUCAGGCUCCAGCCACCUCCCUUGCUGUGCCAGGUAACCUGUCCCACACGUCCAUCUUCAGGUCCCCCCUGCCUCGGGACCUUGGCACGUGACGUCCCCUUUCCUGCCAGGCUCAGGCCCUGGCUUCAUUGAGGUCUCCAUGGCGCGGUUUCCUCCCUGGACUCCCUCCGUGGCUGUGGCCUCUGCACACCCAGGCCACCUUGCCUUAUGCUGCAUGGCCUGCACCGCUGCUUGCUGUCAUGGGUAUUUUUUAAAAGGUGAUUAAUAACUCCUUCACCUUGAAAGAGUUGGGGGAUCACCUUAUUCUGAAAACUCAUAAAGGGACAGAAUCAAGUAUGUAUCCUGCUUGUCCUGGCAAACAAAGAGUUGAUGAUGGAAAGUUCUUCAUAGACGGUUAGCUAAUAGGCUGGGCGCGGUGGCUCAUGCCUGUAAUCCCAGCACUUUGGGAGGCCAAGGUGGGUGGAUCACGAGGUCAGGAGAUUGAGACCAUUCUGGCUAACACAGUGAAAGCCCGUCUCUACUCAAAAUACAAAAAAUUAGCCGGGCGUGGUGGCGGGUGCCUGUAGUCCCAGCUACUCGGGAGGCUGAGGCAGGAGAAUGGCGUGAACCCGGGAGGUGGAGCUUGCAGUGAGCCGAGAUCACACCACUGCACUCCAGCCUGGGCGACAGAGAGAGACUCCGUCUCAAAAAAAAAAAAAAAAGUUAGCUAAUAAAUGAAGAAUGAAUUAAAAUAUUGCCAUUUUGCAACUUCCAGUGAAAUCUCAGAUGUGGGCAUUGGUCCUCAAUGGCUGCAGAAAUUAGGAGGCGACAGGCUGUCGGGGGCCUUCACGGUGUGAGGCAGGCUGGCCAUAGAUGGACCCCAAUCGAUCUAAUUAGAAGGACAGGGACAACUAGACACCGUGCGCCUUCGGAUGGGACAUGCUGGGAAUCACACGGCCCCACUGGGACCAGCCUGAAUGAGGCCAGCCUCUGGUUCUACGCACUGGUGUACCAGGCACAGAGGGGAAUGUGCUGAACUGCAGCCAGCCACACAGAGGCCAUGAGACCCGGCAACAACCUGGUGUCCUGUCCUCAACAAAUCAAUGAAAGCAAAAAGAGAAGGAAUCUUGUCUGUUGAUUAAAAAAAAGGUAGAUGAGCUCUAGCCGCCAAACACAGCACGCAGACCUUGCCUGGACCCUGAUUGUCAUAAACUAACCAAACAGACAGAGGCUACCGAAAGCAUUGAUGAGGCAGUUGGGAACUUUGGUGGUAUGAAGGAAUUACUUAUUUUGGGGUGUGAUAAUGGGAUCGUGAUUAUUUUUUAGAAAGAGCUGUCAUUUAGAGAUUCUGCUGCACUGUUGGUGGUGCAAGGAGAGAUUUACUUCAAAAUACACCAGUGGUGCUCGCGUGGGGACGGGGCUCAGGGUGCCAUGGGGUACAGAUGAGAGGCCACUGGUCACCAGCCACUGUGAUGAGGGCUGCAGGGCUGACAGGUACAGGGUGUUUAGUAUACUUUGCUUUCCGUUGGUAUAUAUUUGGCAAUUUCCUAAUAAAAAGUCAAAAAUUGGCCGGGCCCUGUGGCUCAUGCCUGUCAUCCAGCACUUUGAGAGACUGAGAUGGGAGGAUCAUUGGAGGCCAGGAGUUUGCGACCAGCCUGGGCAAUAGAGCAAGACCCUAUCUCUAUGAAGAAAAAAUUGGCCAGGUGUGGUAGCACAUGCCUGCAGUUUCAGCUACUCAAGAGGCUGAGGUGGGAAGACUGCUUGAGUCCAGGAGUUUGAAGUUGCAGUGAGCCAGGAUUGUGCCACUGCGCUCCAGCCUGGGUGACAGAGUGAGAGCCUGUCUCGAAAAGAUUUUUUUAAGUUAAAAAUCAGCCAAUAGGUGGGUUAUUCAUCCCAUAAUCACCAUUAGGCUGAAAAGGUAACAUUUUUCCUUUGGGUCACAAAGGGAGUGCUUGAAAUUCAGGGCCUGUCACUGUAUCCGCAAUAACAGGAACAUGUGGAGACCCCUUACCACGCAUGGAGCUCACUCCUGCUCACAGCGAGCCUGUGGGUGCGGCCCCCGCAGACCCCAUGCAUAGGUGGGGACGUGGAAGCCCCAGGAGGCAGGGGGACAGGUCAGUGGGUGGUCCUGCCCAGCCUGCUCUCCUGCCCUCAUGUCUGCUGGGUGACUUGGCAGUGUGCAGCAUCAGUGCUGGUCCCCCUAGUGGGCCCGGGGCCAGCUGACUCUGCCAGGGAGGGGGUGGGUUUUCAGGCUGAAUAGGCUGGGAGCAGGGACAGAGAAGGAGAGAUGAGAUGGGACUGGGGCUGCGUGGACUGUGCCUGUGUGGGGUUUGUGUCACCUGCUGUGACAUGACAUUGUGAUGUUGGCUGCAGCAGCAGAGGGCAGCUGGGAGGUGCUGUUGUGGCGGCUGCAGCUCCCAGCCUGGGUGUGGCAUGGCCUGAGCAGGCCUGGCACCCUGAGCACCCAGGCCAGUCUCAGCCAGUUGUCCAGAACCUGCAGGAAGUGCUGGCUCCACCAAGAAGGGGAGGGGGGGCCUGGCCACCCCUGAUGAUGGGGAUAGAAGAGGCAGCUGCGGGGGUGGGAACCCGUGCAUGGCAGGGGUAGAACCAGCCACCUAGAAACUGAACACCAGACAGGCACCAAGUGAUGCAGAUUUCCCUGUAUGUUGGUGGCACCUGUGCUGCUGGCUGCCUUGGGGCUGAGUUAUGAUGAACACCACUGGCUCCCAGCAGGACGUGGGACAUGCAGGGCUGAGCUGGAUGUGUGAACUGGGCUUUCCUCGUGGGAUCUGAAUCCUUUCCUGUCCCUGCUAUGGGAAGGGCUGGGGUGCCUGUGGAUCGCUGGGCAAGAGCAGGGGGGCGGCAGGUUUGCGGGUCACAGUAACAGCUGCUGAGGGCUGGACGCUCAUGUUCCCCCAAAACUCAGGUGGAAAUCCUCACCCCCAAGGCAGUGGCAUUAGGAGGUGGGGCCUUUGGGAGGUGAUUAGGCCUGAAGGACAGAGCCCUCAUGCUGGGAUUAGUGCCCUUAGGAAGGAGAGAUCCCUUGCUCCUUCCACGUGUGAGGACACAGUGAGAAGACGCCCAUCUGCAAGCCGCAGGUGGGCCCUCGCCAGAGCCCGGCCACGCGGGCACCUGGUCUGGGACUUCCAGCCUGCAGGACUGUGAGAAAUAGGUUUCUGCUGCUGAGAAGCUGCCCGCCUAUGGGAUUUUGCUAUAGCAGCCAGAAUGGACUAAGACAGUAGGGGAAUGGGAGAUUCCCACUGGAGCUGAGAGCCUGACCUGGGAACGUGACAGGCCAGUGAGGCUGUAGACGUGGCCACGCAUCACUGCUCGCAGGGCUCCCGAACUUAGAGCACGGUGAACCAGACAGUGAUGAAGCAAAGCCACUGCCACGCAACUCCGAGGUUCAGCCAGCAGGCACCGAACAUGCCAGCAGCUCGGUGGCACCCAGCAUGCUCGGUGGCAUGUCCCUUCAGCGGACGGGGCACCAACCCAGCAUGUGUGCAGUGAGAGUGUGUGGUGUGAGCACACCCGGCGGGAGCUCUUCUGGUGCUGUUGUGUGGCAGCAGCAGCUGCGCACAACGCAGCUGACUUUGCCCCCUGCGCCCUUGGUGUCCCCAUAUCUGUGUCCGGUGGGCAGCUGUGAUGGGACAUCUGGAGUUGCUGUUGCCUGUCACAGGAGCAAGCAUUGGUGGGCAGACCCUAGCCCAGAGGAGGCCCCAGGGGCAAGCUACCAGUCUGGGGGCCAGAAGGUGGGGAGGGUGAAGGGCCAACCCUGUUCUGGUUCCUAUCAUGCAUGGAUUUCCAGUGCCCACCUCAUUCCUGACGGACACCGUACUAUCAGGGGUUCACUGGGCUUUGGGAAUGCCUAUAUGGCUGAUUGCAGGGUGGCCUCGGGCAGCCGGUGAUGGGGUCAGGUCGGAAACAGGCGAAAGAGAAGCUGCUUUAGAGACGCUGCCACUAGAAAGAAGGAAAGGCAGAGACUGUCAGUCUGGGGCUGCCAGGAGGGAGUGGUGGCCAGGGUGGGUGACACGCUGCUGUCAUGUCCCUGCAUAGGUCCACCGAUCAGGGAGAAGGAAGGGAGGAGAGCUGUGCUCCUGGGGGCUUUCGCGAGAGCUCCCCUGGCUUGCCUCCUCCCCAGGGCUGGGCAGGGGGAGCUUCUACAGAGGUCAUUUUCUCCUGAAACCCAGGGCCCAGAGUUGCAUCAGCUUGUGAGGGGAGCAGGAAGGGCCCUGAGGGCUGAUGGUGCAGGCCCUGGACAGCCUGGAGAGCUCUCCCACCGGGAGUGUUACUAACCUCCGCCAACACCUAGGCGACCUCAUUUAAUCCUUACAGGAACCCUGAGGGGCAAACUGAGGCACAGAGAGGCUCAGCGACUUGCCUGAGGUCACACAGCUAGCAGAAUUUGGUGGAAAGCCAGGACUCCACCGUGCCCUCGAUGUCUACUUGCCACUUUGUCUUCAGAAUUAGAUCAAUUUGCUACAACUCUGUUUGCCUAGACCUGGGUGGACCUGAGCCGACUUCACAGAGUGAUCUAGUUAGUGAGUAAAAAAAUGGCCCCCAAAGGCUUCUCGCUGUUUUAUGGCGGCCACUUUUCCUGAUAUGCAUUGGUCCAGCUCGACUGAAUGUCUUUUCUUCUGAAUGUGCCCUUAACCCUGGCUCACGUAUUUUGCUGGAAUUUUCAGCCCCUGCUCCUGCCUGUGUUGCCAAAUGGCUGCGGCCAACUGCCCAGACAAGGUUUAAAGUUUCUGUCUGAAGUCUUGGAAAAUGGAUCGUUUAGAGAAUUGAUUUUCAGCAAACUGACCAAUCAAGGUCAUUUUGUGAACUGACUUUCAGAGAAUUGAUUUCCCAUAUCCUGAUCCAAUGACUAAACUUUUAAAAAUGAGUCUGCAAGCCCCAAUUCAGAAGCACGGGAUUUUGCAUGUUAAGAAACAGUUAUGGGUACACAACAUCCUGAGUGUAUUAAAUGCCACUAAAUUGCACACUUUUAAAUGGCUAAUUUUACGUUAUCCUAAUUUCAUUGAAAUUAAAAAAGAAACAACCAACAAAAUUCAUACCCAGAACAUGAAUUCAUUCCAGAUGGAGUAAAGUUUAUGGAGGAAUCUAAUAAAGACUUAAUCUACCAAAGAGAUAAGAAAAAGGACCACAGCCAUUAAAGUAAAUACAUUACAAAAACCGAAUGGCAGAUUCAAGACAAGAACAGAUAGUUAUGAAAAUGGCACAUCCUGGAAAUGAAAAAUACAGUCACCGAGACAAAAGGCUCAGAAGAUGGGAUAGGAUGAAGUACACAGUUGAAAAGAGAAUUAGUGAAGUAGAAGAGAGAAAUACGGAAUUUGACCAGAAUGCAAAACAGAGAGACAGAGAUGACAAUUUCUUUCUUUUUUUUUUUUAAGCAAAGUCUCGCCCUGUUGCCCAGGCUGGAGUGCAGUGGCACCAUUUCCGCUCACUGCAACCUCCACCUCCCAGGUUUAAGCAAUUCUUGUGCCUCAGUCUCCUGAGUAUCUGGGACUACUACAGGUGCGUGCCACCAUGCCCAGCUGAUUUUCAUAUUUUCAGUAGAGAUGGGGUUUCGCCAUGUUGGUCAGAUGGUCUCGAACUCUUGGCCUCAAGUGAUCCGCCAACCUUGGCCUCCCAAAGUGCUGGGAUUACAGGUGUGAGCCACCAUGCCCGGCCUGAGAUUUAACACGUGUGCAUGCAUGUGCACACACAGAGACAUGUGCACACACGGCAACCGAAAGCCCUGGCAGGGCCGGACGUGGUGGCUCACGCCUGUAAUCCCAGGACUUCGGGAGGCGCAAGCAGUUGCCAGUCCUUGGGAUUUUCUGCUGUGUGCGUGGGGACACCCCUUGAGAGGCUCCUGGUGAUGGGGCAGUGACCCUGCUGGUAGGGCAGUGAGAGGCCGUGGCUAUGAAGCCCCCCGGCACGGGGGCUCCUGGUUCUGCCCUUCCAAGGGUGUGGUCUGGAUACUGCUGGAACCCAUUUCCCGCCUGAGAAAUAGGGCAGGGGCGUCCAUCUUGCAGAGUCACUGUGGAAGGUGGAGUCACCCCGCUGUGCCCCUGAGGGCAUCUGCAGUAACUUCAGAGCCACAGCAGGCACCCUGCCCCUCCUGGCCCUGGCCCCACCCCUUUACCUGCCUUCUCCUAACUGUUCCUCUUCUGGAAGUGCCUGGAGCCCAGGAGAGGCCUGUGCUAGGGGCUCCUCCCUGUCUGGGCUGCCAUCUGCGCACUCGUUGGCCCCCCUUCAGUGCAGACAACACACUGUGUCCGGCAGCAGGGCCUUGUCCUCAUCCUCGCCUGUCUGCCAGUGGCUUUGCUGUCCCUGGUCUGGGCCUGACUCUGACACGCAGCCCAUUCUUGCCUUUUGUGAGGGGCAGCUCCGGCCCCUGCGUCUUUGUAAGAUGAAGACUCCAUAAAUAAAUAAAUUUACUUAUUUAUUUAUUUUGAGACAGAGUCUCUCUCUGUCACCCAGGCUGGAGUGCAAUGGUGCAGUCUUGGCUCACUACAGCCUCCACCUCCUGGAUUCAAGCGAUUCUCCUGCCUUAGCCUCCUAAGUAGCUGGGAUUACAGGCACCCACCACCACGCCCGGCUAAUUUUUAUAUUUUUAGUAGAGAUGGGGUUUCACCAUGUUGGUCAGGCUGGUCUCGAACUCCUGACCUUGUGAUCCACCUGCCUCGGCCUCCCAAAGUGCUGGGAUUACAGACGUGAGCCACCGUGCCUGGCUAGACUCCAGAAAUUAGGCCUGCAGGAGAUUCUGGGCUGUGUUGAGGCCUCGGCUGCUGGGCCUGAGCUAGGAACCACGCCACCACCCAGUGGCCCCGCUCUGGCCCUGGCAGGGACCCACGAGCAGGCCCUGCUGCCCCCACCAUGCUCCCCUGGAAGUCAGACCCACCUCCCCUACCCAGCAAGGGCUGUGGCCAGGCAUGAAGCCUGGCUCCCCUGGUCCCCGUGGAGACUCCUGGGCCUCAGGGGUCCCCAUCCAAACAGUGGGAGGGUUGGGCUGGAGCUCACCCAGAAUGUUUGGCAGUGCCUGCAGUGGGGGAGGGUCUUUAUGUCAUCGCUCCUGAGGGUCCUUUGGAGCCUGUUCCUGCUGCUGCGUUGGCAGUUCGGAGCCACACGCCUCUCCCGAGGGUGCCCUGGCUGCCCAUCUGCCCAUGUCCCUCCCUCCCUCGGUCACCCUAACAGUUGCACCCGCAGCACAAGGUCCCCUGAAAACGCACAGCAAGGCCAGAGCUGCUGCAGGCAGGGCACGGCCCUGCGGGUGUUUCAUCUCGUUGUGAGAGCUUUCCAGUUGGCACAGGUAGUGUCUGCUUUCACCCAUCCUUCCAGAAACAAGGGGCCUUGGGCCACGGGAAGAGCGCGUCCUGCACUUCCAUGCCUGUGUGGGAGUGGCCUGUCCACUGGAGACAGCCUGUGCCCCGCUAGCAAGACCACGCUCAUUUUGUGAGAGCUCCCGCCAUCCUGUGGCUCUUGGGCCUGGAACUCGCAUUCCUGCUCCAUUCUGAGGGCCAAGUGAUGUGGCUAGAUGCAGAGAGAGGGGGGCCUGCGGCGGCCGACACCCAAAGCAUCCUUGAUGGCUUUUUUUUUUUUUGAGACAGGCAUGGCAAGGUCCCCCUCCCGCCCCCCGGAUCUGCCUGUGAACACAGGGUGCCCCUGGGGGUGUCCAGAGUGAGAACAAAUUCCGUUUGGGAUAGAGUCUUACUCUGUUGCCCAGGCUGACCUUCAGUGGUGCGAUCAUGGCUCACUGCAACCUUGAACUCCAGGGCUCAAGUGAUCCUCCCACCUCAGCCUCCUGAGGAGCUGGGACCACAGGGACACACCACCACGCCUGCCUAAUUUUUUUUUUUUUUUUUAGAGACGGGAACUUGCUAUGUUGCCCAGGCUGGACUCAAACUCCUGGCCUUAAGUGAUCCCACUCAGCCUUCCAAAGCUGGGUAGCUUUUGAUUGCAGAUUCUAGCUAGGUUGCAGGACGUGAGGAAGUGGGGGUGCAGAAAUCACAGCAACACCCUCCCCCAAGGGUGCUUUCCGUGGCUGUGUACACAGCCCGCCUGGCCGGCUCUGAGAGCAGGGACCCUUCUCUGGAUGCUCCAGGCCAUCGCUGUGCAGGAACCCGGUGUGUUGUAAGUGAAGGACAGUCGUCUUUACCUUGGGGGAGACAGUUGUGGGUGCCUCCCUGCAGGCUGUGGCAUCUGUAAUUCCCCAAAUGUAGGUGCUACGUUGAACAGUCCCUUAGACUUCACCGCAGCACCGUGUGGUCACCGUGCACAGCCUUCCCAGGCCAGCUGCAGAAUUCCAUGGAAAAGGUUUUGAUGAAUGAUUACAUCUCAACGGUCUAGGCCCUCAACCUUCUCUUUUUAGAACAGUGCCCCCCAUUGUGGAAAUCCUCGGUUCAGCCACUGGGAACUCCCCAGUUUUGAGGGCAGGUGUUGGCAGUUUCAUUUGGUCCAACACCAAUUCCACGUUCCUGUGCCCCCUUCAACAGUCUGCGCAGCCUCCCAGUGGCGCAGCCUCCCGGUGACGCAGGCUCCCCGUGACUCAGCCUCCUGGUGACACGGCCUUGCUAGCCGCCAUCCUGUACCGGGCCCAGGUGACACCGUGGGACGUCUGUUAUUUAGGUGCCCCUGGCCCCUGCCACGGGGUUUCCCACUUUGGGGGCCUUGCAUUUGUGUGGCUUCUUCCUUGCUCUCAGUGGUCACCUGGUUGUCGGUGGCCCGCGUCCAUCAGCCCAUCAUCAUUCCGACUUGCUGUUUUUGAUCGUUGGCCGGAAAGCCAGACAGCUGGCCUUGCUGGACCAUGUCUGCAAUGGGAAUUUCGAGGCCGAGAGGGAGGGCUUCAGGGGCCCCUGGGAGUGCAACACGUAAAUGGGGGCUUGCACACGGGGUCGGGUGGGGGGCUCUUGCUCCGAUGUUCCGGGAUCUUUUUUGCCCCUUGUAGACCCACAGGUGUGUGUGCAGGAGCCCUGAGGAGGCCAGAGGAGGCCAGAGAAGGGUGAGCAGGGGUCCGAGGGCACUGCGGUGAGGCCAGGCUGCAGAUGGAGCUGGGGCUCGAGCUCAGGAGCUGGUCUUCCCUGCUGGGGCCGCGACGCCUGCCGCUUUCCUGCCGGCUCUCUGGGUCAAGGCCUGGAAAGGCUUUCUUCUCGGGCUUCUCAUCAGCUUAUCGGCCCAUUUAGGUAAUGGCACUUCCUGUCCAUUAACCUCAGCCACAGUGAGAUCAGCUCUCCACACUCACUUGGCAGGAGGCUUGCAGGAGCCUUCCUAUUUGGAGAGUAAAAAGAGCAUGGCCUCUGCAGCAGCCAGGAAGUGGAAAGCCCUGGCUUCCUGGUUCCAGAGAACAAACAGGGGAUGCGGCUCCCAGAUGCAGCCAAAAGUGCUCUGGGGACGGGGACAGUCGGCCGGGUCCUGUCGCAAGCGGCUGCCCUGUUGCACUGACGUCCUGGCCCCUGAGAACACAUCAGUAGGGCCUGGCCGGACCCUGGGCCGAUGCCACUCUUAGGGGUGAGAUGGGGAGCCUGGCCCAGGCUGAGACCCCCACCCUCCACCCAAAACGUGUCCGGGCCUCCAGGCCGUGCAGAGCACACUGGAGGCUCAAGACGGCACCUCUUCUGUGGGACUGGGCCACAGCCUGUCUGAUGCCUCACUUCUCUGACUCUUGGAGGCAUGGUGCUGGCCCGUCUGUGAGCCCCAGACCCCCUUGUAGAGCUCGCUCCAGGGCCAGGCCCAGCCCCCUUACCGCCUCUCAGCCAGGCUCAGCUAGUGGCCGGCUCUGCCAUGGGGAAGCCCGGUGUCUCUCUCUCUCUGCCUCUACCAGGCUGCUGCGGCAUGGCCCCAAGCCUGGGCGCUAGUAACAGCCUCUGUCCCUCCAGCCUGUACGAUGGCUCAGCGCUACCUGGGGACUCCCUCCAGCCAGGCCAGACAUGCUGGGCAGUCAGGGUCCCUGGGAGCCCCUUGACAGCGACUGACGGCAGGUGGGGGAUAAGUAGCCAAGUGUCUCCUGCCGGCGGGGGCAACUCUGCAGGUGUCUCUGCAGCCUCCCCAGUCCCCCAUGGGUGCCUGCCCCCUGAGUCCCCCAGGGGGCACCUUCCCCUUUGUCCUGACCCCUGCUCCUUCCCUCUCUUCUCCUGGGGUGGCCAGGGGUCACAUGCCAUGUAACCCUGAAUCCUGUCCCAGCCUCUGCCCCUGAGGAACCCGUCCAGCAAGCCAUCCACCCUCACUAAAGUCCAGGCCGUCUUCCAUGGUCCCCUCACCACCUUGUUCUUUCUGGCCCCAGAGGCCGUCACCAUCCAGGGCACAAGGGGGCCUGCCCCUUGGCCAGGUGGCUGCCUGUCCUCUGACCCUGGGUUGUCGACAGGGGGAGGGGAGAGCUGGAAACCGGGGUCAGGAGGAUGCCAGCAGGUCCGUCACUCCCUGCCUGGAUCCGGCCAAGUGCGGGGGACCUUGGCCAGCAUCCUAGAGAGCUGGCGCACCUCCUGGGCCUGACGCGGGCUUCCUGGAUUGCAUAAAGGCUCCUUCUCCUUACAUAGCCAGGGCAAAGGUGCAUGACAACUCUGAGCAAGUCAAAACAACCGUCAGCAGCGGGAAACCUCGAUGAACAAACACCGGGAGAGUGCAUUCCCAGGGGAGUUCCAGGAGGCCCAUGGCCCCUCCUGUACAGCCCUCCACCGCCCAGAGCCUUCCAGCGCCACGUCUUCCCCUUGGAGCAUCUGGAGGCCCCAGACAGCACCCGCCUGACGUUCAGCAGAGGGGGAGACCGAGGCCUGCAGCAGAGUGUUUUGUCAGAUGCUGCUCCCUGACCGGGAGUGAGAGGGAACCCACCUAGAGGUGCCAGAUGGGGUGCCUGGGCAGCGUGGCCUGCAGGCCCCUCAGCUCCUCACAGCCCCUGCCCCCGCCCCCAGCCUUCCUGGGCCCAGAGAUCCCCUUGUUACCCUAGUCCAGGGACAGAGGCUCAGAUGUCAUGCUUGACCCCACAGGUACAGGGUUAGGGGUGAAGGUGGCUGUCUCUUCAUGUCUUCACCAUGGCUUCUCUGCCUUCCUCCUGCUCCUGGUGGCUUAUGUCCUGCCGCUCUUGAUACGCGACUGUGGUCUGUCCUGGGAUGGUUAUGAUGCAUAUGUGCUAUUGUUGUGAACUGUAACAUUGAGGUCUGGCCUUACGGUUGCUUUUGAUUGUCCCUUCUGCUCCCUUUUCUUAUUUUAAUAUUUUACCAUUUUCCAUUUUAAUGUAUCUGUUGUCUUUUUUGGCUAAAUCUCUUUUCAGUUUUAUUUUACUGUAUAUCUUUUCUAAGUGAUUGCUUAGAGAUUACAAUAUACUAAACCUAGCCUUUCACAGUUUCUGCAGAUCCUGCUUUGUGACUUCGAGUGAAGUGUGGAAGCGCUGGAAGCACUUAGACCCGGCCUGGUGCUCUCUGCCCCUCCCCAAGUACCAUGAAGUGAGAGAGCAGCGAGCGGGCCAGGCGCCACUCCUGGAGGACAGCCACGAUGCUCACCUGGACCUGGGCCCCACACACCUCUCAUGGUGCCGCAGACCCCUGGGAGGCACCAACACCCCGGAUCGAGAAGCCCGAUGGGAAAGAAUGUCUGGGAAGGACGUCAUGCCGGAG